This 68-nucleotide transfer RNA is filed under the name Marmota monax (woodchuck). Its description in RNAcentral is "tRNA.Thr". The record is from RNAcentral. Lineage: Eukaryota; Metazoa; Chordata; Mammalia; Rodentia; Sciuridae.
GGUUUGUGGCUCAGGGGUAGAGCACUCGCCUAGUACAUGUGAGGCACUGGGUUUGAUCCUCAGCACCA